UUCUUUUUGAAAAUUUGGGGGUAAAAUGACAUAAACAUCCUUCUAUACAUAUAAAUAAAAAAUGUAUGUUAAAUUUGAUAUAAUUAUAAAUAAUUCAAAUUCAAAGGACCAAAAUAGCAAUUUUUAAAAUCUUAAAUCCUAAUCAUCAUCGUUCUCCCUAUCACCCUCUCAAGUUGGGAAAAAAAAAAUCCAGCACCUAAUUCUCUUCUUCCCCAAAAUUUCUGGAACUCAAAACAGCAAAGGCAACAACCACGGUCACUACCGCCGCCGGAGCCGCCCCUAAUUCUCUCAAAUCCUGUAGCUAUGUCGAAACCGGCAACCUCACGAAACAGUGGAGGAGAAGAGCAAGGUAUCUGAUGCCUCCAGAUCCAAACCUCCCAUUGUUUUUCUGUUUUUUAUCGUCUUCUCCGACGAUGGUUUUAGAGGUUGCGAAAGAAGAAAAGGCUGGUGUGGAACUGGUCGACGGCGCCGCCGCAGAGGAGGCAGGGGGCUGUGCAAUCCAGCUUGUGCGUAGUGUGUGUGGAAAAUUACAAUUCAGUCACCUAAUUAAGUUUCAUAAAUUUAGUAAAAUUACAAUUUGGCCUCUAUUAUAUAUUAAUUCUAAUUUUAUGUUAUUAACAAGGG
Molecule: long non-coding RNA, 624 nt
Filed under: Erythranthe guttata (spotted monkey flower)
Lineage: Eukaryota; Viridiplantae; Streptophyta; Magnoliopsida; Lamiales; Phrymaceae
Description: long non-coding RNA (EGUT_LNC001559)
Source: RNAcentral